GCUGGGCGUGGUGGUGGGCGCCUGUAGUCCCAGCUACUCAGGAGGCUGAGGCAGGAGAAUCGCUUGAACCCAGGAGGCAGAGGUUGCAGUGAGCUGAGAUCAUACCACUGCACUCCAGCCUGGGCAACAGAGCGAGACUCCGUCUCAU
RNAcentral lists this non-coding RNA (148 nucleotides) under Homo sapiens (human). The record is from Rfam by way of RNAcentral. Lineage: Eukaryota; Metazoa; Chordata; Mammalia; Primates; Hominidae.